UAUGGUCUUAUCACGUUGAAACACCGGUUUCCAUGCGAUCGCCGAUGUUAAGCAACGUCGAGGCUGGUCAGUACCUAGAUGGGUGACCGCUUCGGAAUACCAGUUGAUGUAAG
Molecule: non-coding RNA, 113 nt
Organism: Acanthosepion pharaonis
Lineage: Eukaryota; Metazoa; Mollusca; Cephalopoda; Sepiida; Sepiidae
Source: the annotation of a GenBank genome assembly